GCGGAAGUGGUGAAAUGGCAGACACACCAUCUUGAGGGGGUGGUACUCGAAAGGGUAUGGGGGUUCAAGUCCCCCUUUCCGCA
RNAcentral lists this transfer RNA (83 nucleotides) under Chlorobiota bacterium. RNAcentral describes it as "Chlorobi bacterium tRNA-Leu". It matches the Rfam family "tRNA". Rfam says of the family: Transfer RNA (tRNA) molecules are approximately 80 nucleotides in length. The record is from RNAcentral. Lineage: Bacteria; Pseudomonadati; Chlorobiota.